AUACAGAGGGUGCAAGCGUUAAUCGGAAUUACUGGGCGUAAAGCGCGCGUAGGUGGUUUGUUAAGUUGGAUGUGAAAGCCCCGGGCUCAACCUGGGAACUGCAUCCAAAACUGGCAAGCUAGAGUACGGUAGAGGGUGGUGGAAUUUCCUGUGUAGCGGUGAAAUGCGUAGAUAUAGGAAGGAACACCAGUGGCGAAGGCGACCACCUGGACUGAUACUGACACUGAGGUGCGAAAGCGUGGGGAGCAAACAGGAUUAGAUACCCCAGUAGUCC
This 274-nucleotide ribosomal RNA is filed under the name uncultured bacterium. RNAcentral's name for it is "partial 16S ribosomal RNA". It matches the Rfam family "Bacterial small subunit ribosomal RNA", at positions 523 to 796 of the family's 1533-position model. The record is from RNAcentral.